RNAcentral lists this long non-coding RNA (244 nucleotides) under Cervus hanglu yarkandensis (Yarkand deer). RNAcentral's name for it is "lncRNA (ENSCHYG00000024174.1)". Lineage: Eukaryota; Metazoa; Chordata; Mammalia; Artiodactyla; Cervidae. The record is from RNAcentral.
GAUGCACAUGACCUGGGGAAUCUUCAGGAAUCUGUGACACCAAUUGAGCCCCAGAGGGGCAGCACAACCUCAGAAGUGCUGAACAGGGAGAAGGCCCUGCUGCGGACAAGCAGCUGGAGUGAGAAUAAAAACAACGGGAUCAUAGGGGCAACUCUGCACGAUCCAUGUGACAUUGGGUAUAUUUCUGGACUUGUCUGAGACAUACACUAUGGGUCCUAGGAGGUUUGAGACAGGUUCUUCUUGC